Molecule: transfer RNA, 72 nt
Filed under: Camelus bactrianus (Bactrian camel)
Lineage: Eukaryota; Metazoa; Chordata; Mammalia; Artiodactyla; Camelidae
Also listed under: 1 other name
Rfam family: tRNA
About the family: Transfer RNA (tRNA) molecules are approximately 80 nucleotides in length.
Source: Rfam by way of RNAcentral
GUGGGCAUAGCUCAGUGGCAGAGCACAUGCUUAUCAUGCACAAGGUCCUGGUUUCAAUCCCCAGUACCUCCA